GUCUUUUUUUUCUUCUUUUAGGGCUGCACCUGAGGCAUAUGGAAGUUCCCAGGCUAAUAGUCUAAUUGGAGCUGCAGCCGCUGGCCUAUGCCACAGCCACAGCAACAUGGGAUCCUAGCCAAGUCUGUGACCUACACCAGAGCUCACGGCAAUGCCGGAUCCUUAACCCACUGAGCAAGGCCAGGGAUCGAACCUGAAAUCUCAUGGUUCCUAGUCGGAUUCGUUAACCACUGCGCCACGAUGGGAACUCCUUUGGUUUUUUUUUUUUUUUUUUUAAUAGCAGCCAUCAUAAUGUGUGAGGUGUUUUUGAUUUGCACUUUGCUAAUAUUAGUGAUAGUACCUUUUCAUGUGCUUAUUGGCCAUUUGUAUAUCUUCUUUGGAAAAAUGUUAAUUCAAGUCCCUUGCCCAUUUUUUUAAAAAAUUAAAAAAUUUUUUAAUUGCUGCACCUGCAGCAAAUGAAAGUUUCCAGGCUGGGGAUUAAACCCACACCAUCACAUUGAUCUGAGUUGCCGUAGUUGGAUUCUUAACCCACAGUGCCACAGUGGGAACUUCCUUGCCCAUUUUUGAAUGGAGGGUUUUUGUUUUUUGUUUUUUUCUUUUUCAGCCACCCCAUGGCAUAUGGGGUCAGAACUGAGUUUACACUGCAGCUGUGGCAACACAGUACCCUUAACCCAGUGUGCUGGGUGGGGGAUCAAACCUGCAUCCCAGUACUACAGAGAUGCUGCUCAUUUUGUUGCACCACAGCAGGAACUCCAGAACUGAGUUGUUGUUGAGUUUUAGUAAUUCUAUGUUUGGGUAUUAAUCCCUUUUCAAAUAUAUGAUUUGCAAAUAUUUUCUUUUUUUUUAUUUGCAAAUUUUUUUUUUGAUUUGCAAAUAUUUUCUUCUGUGGGUUGUGUUUUUACUCUCUUGAUGGUGUAUUUUGAUGCACAAAAUUUAAAAAUUUUCAGGAAGUCUGGUUUGUCUGUUUCUUUCAUUACCUGUAUCUUUGGUGUCAUAGCCAAGAAAUCAUUGCCAAAUCCAAUUUCAUGAAACUUUUGUCUGUGUUUUCUUCUAAGUGUUUUAUUGUUUUAAGUUUUGUAUUUGGGUUUUUUGUUUUCUUGGUUUUUUCUUUUUAGGGCAGCACCUAACAGCAUAUGGAAGUUCCCAGGCUUGGGGUUGAGUUGGAGCUGCAGUUGCUGGCUUGCACCACAUCUAUGGCAACUCCAGAUCUUCUAGAUCUGAGCCACGUCUGUGACCUACACCUCAGCUCGGGCAACGCUGGAUGCCUUAACCGACUGAAUGAGGCCAGGGAUCAAACCCACAUCCUCAUGGAUACUAGUAGGGUUCUUAACCCACCGAGCCAUAAUGGGAACUCCUGUAUUUAGGUUUUUGAUCCAUUUUGAAUUAAUUUUUGUACAUGGUAUUAGUUAAGAGUCCAGCUUCAUUCUUUUACGAAUAGAUACGCAGUUUUCCUAGCACUGUUUAAAAGACCUUUUUUUCCCUCCAUUGGAUGAUCUUGGAACCCUUGUCAGAAAUCAUUUGACUAUAUAUGCAAUAGUUUUUUUCUGGGCUAUUUUAUUCCAUAGGUCUGCAUAUCUGUUUAUGCCAUACCACACUGUAUUGAUUACUGUAGCUUUGAAAUCGGGAUAUGUGAAUCCUUCAGUUUUGUUCUUUUUCAAGGUUGUUUUGGUUAUCUAGGGUCCCUUGAGAUCCCAUAUAAAUUUUUCUAGGAUGGGUAUUUCUGUUUCUACAAAAAAUGUCAUUGGGAUUUUGGCAAGGAUUGCGUUGAAUCUGUACAUGGCUUUGGCCAGUAUUGACUUUUUUUAAAUUUUUUUUUUACUUUUUCCAUUAUAGUUGGUUUACAGUGUUCUGUCAGUUUUCUAAUAUACAGCAAAGUGACCCAGUCACACACACACACAUAUAUAUAUACAUUCUUUUUCUCACAUUAUCCUCCAUCAUGUUCCAUCACAAGUGACUAGAUAUAGUUCCCUGUGCUAUACAGCAGGAUCUCAUUGCUAGUAUUGACUUUUUAAUGAUAUUAACUCUUCCAAUCGAUGCACAUGGGAUGUGUUAAUAUUUAUGUCUUUAAUUUUUUCAGUAAUAUUUUGUAGUUUUCAUUGUAUAUAAGUCUUUCACCUCCUUGGUUAGUCUUUAAGUAUUUUUUUUUUUGAUGAUAAAGAUGGAAAUAUAUUUGUAAUUUCCUGUUAUAUUGUUCAUUAUGUUAGAAAUGCAACUGAUUUUUAUGUGUUGAGUGGGUAUCCUCCUAUUUUGCUGAAUUCAUUUAUUCUAACAAUUUUUUUGGUGGAAUCUUCAGGGUUUCCUACAUAUAAGAUCAUGUCCCCCCAAUAUUAAAACACCUUCCUGUUCAUUCAGUGGAUAUACUAUAAUUUGCUAUGGGCUAUUUCUAGUUGUUGGUGUUUUUUGUUUGUUUGCUAUGUUUUUUUAAGGGCCACACCUGCAGCAUAUGGAAGUUCCCAUGCUGGGGGUCGAAUUGGAGCUUCAGCUGCUGGCCUGCAACGCAGGAUCUGAGCCGAAUCUGCAACUACACCACAGCUCACUGCAAUGCUGGAUCCUUAAUCCAUUGAGUCAGGCCAAGUUUUGAACCUCUGUCCUCCUAGAUAUUAGUCGGGUUCCUUACCACUGAGCCACAAUGGCAACUAUUCUUUCUUUCUUUUAAAUUAAAUGGCCAUGUCUGUGGCAUAUGGAAGUUCCCAGAGCAGAAAUUGAAUCAGCUAUAGCUGCAAACUGUGCUCCAGCUGCAGCAACACCAAGUGCUUUAAAUCCCUUCACCAGGCCAAGGAUCAAACUUGUGCCUCUGCAGCAACCCAAGCUGCUGCAAUCAGAUUCUUUUUGUUUGUUUUGCUUUUUAGGGCUGCACCCGUGGCACAUGGAGGUUCCUAGGCCAGGAGCCAAAUCGGAGCUGCAGCUGCUGGCCUGCAUCACAGCUCAUGGAAAUGCCGGAUCCUCAGCCCACUGAGCAAAGCCAGUGGUUGAACCUGAGUCCUCAUAGAUGCUAGUCAGAUUUGUUCACCACUGAGCCAUGAAGGGGAACUUCUGCAGAUUCCUAACCCACUGAUCACAGCAGGAACUCCUAUUUUAGUUUUUUAUUAUAAAAUAUAGAAAGAGAACUGACAUUUAAGUUGUAGAUCUCUAAGUACAGCGCACAUAUGAUGUACAUCACCAUCCCUGAGAGUGUUUUUUUAGGAUAGAUUCUCAGAAAUACUUGAUUCUUCUCUCUUCUCAUUCAGUAAUAGAGAAUUGAAUUCUUCUUCUUUUUUUUUUUUUUUUUUUUUUUUUUUGCCAUUUCUUGGGCCACUCCUGUGGCAUAUGGAGGAUCCCAGGCUAGGAAUUGGAGCUGUAGACGCUGGCCUAUGUCAGAGCCAUGGCAACUCAGGAUCUGAGCCGAGUCUGCAACCUAUACCACAGCUCACGGCAACACCGGAUCCUUAACCCACUGAGCAAGGCCAGGGAUCGAACCCGAAACCUCAUGGUUGCUCAUCGGAUUUGUUAACCACUGAGCCAAGACGGGAACUCCGAGAACUGAAUUCUUUAUUGCCAUCUCCUUAAGUUGGCCCCCACCUCCCUGCCUCUAAUGCUGCCCCUCUUUCAGUCUGUUUUCCACAGUGCAGCUGAUGCAGAGUGAGGGUCAGGAUUGGUGCACUUUUCCCGCAUAGAAAACAAGACUUAGGAAGCAGAUUGCUUCUGCAUUAUCUGUUCUUGUGGGAGUUAGGAAAAAAAAGUUUUUGAAAGCUAGAGUGCACUUCCUGGAUGAGUUGGGAUUUAGUUUGAUUCUUAAAGGGUGAACAGCAUUUCAGUAAGUGGAGAAAAGGUAGGGAUGAAAUGUGAACCUGUUGGAAGGUAAUUAGAAGUUUAGGCAGGUGGACUUAGAUGACUAGACAAGGAGAGGUAGAAGAACUAGUUCUACAGAUUGUUUAUUCUGUUUAUCUGAAAAGUGAGCUAUGGUGUUGACGUGUGGGAGACCUGAUAUAUGGUGGUAAAGAAGGCUGAUGGUGUGUCCGGAAUACCAGGGCCUUCAACUUUAUUUGUAAUGUUUUUAUUUAUAGAGUUGUGGAUACCUUGGGGAUUGUUAUCUAAUUUGGUUUUUUAAAAUUAAUAUAGUUUCAGAGUAUGUGUACUUUUUUAUUGAUAUAUCAUUCACAUAAAAUUCAUCAUCUGAGAGUGUAUAAUUUAGUGGGUUUUUUUUUUUAGUAUAUUCACAAGGUUGUAUAAGCAUUACUAGCAUCAAAUUCUGUAACAUGUUCAUAACUCCAGAAAGAAAUGCCAUACCUACUUGCUGUCAGUCCCAGUUCCCUCCUCUCUUCCUCACCUGGCAACCACUUACUGUGUGUGGAUUUGCUUGUUUCUAGAUGUUUCAUAGAGAUAUAAUCAUAAAACCUGUGGCCUUUUAUACCUGACUUUCAUUUAAUUAGUACGGUAUAUUCAGAGUUGAUGCACAUUGUAGCAUGUGUCAGUACUUCAUUCCUUUUUUAUUGCUUAAUAAUCUGUUGUAUGAAUAUAUCACAUUUUGUUUAUCUGAUCAUCAGUUGAUAGACAGUUGAGUUGCUUCCAUUUUUUUUCACUGUUAUGAAUAACGCUACCAUGGCACAGUGGGUUAAAAAUCUGACUGUUGGUGGCUCCGGUGGCUACAGAGGCAAGGAUUCGAUCCCUGGCCCAGCACAGUGGGUUAAAGGAUCCGGUGUUGCUUCAGCUGUGGCUCAGGUUCAGUCUUUGGACCGGGAACUUCCAUGUGCUAUGGGUGCGGCCAUAAAUAAAUUUUUUUUUAAAAAUGCUGUUGUGAAUUUUCACAUAAUGGAAGUUUUUGUGUGGACAUAUAUUUUCACUUAGCUUGGCUGUAUACCUAGGAGUGAGAUUGCUGAGUCACAUAAUAAUUCUGUUUUUAACUUUUUGAGGAACUGCACAACUAUUUUCCACAGUGGCUGUACCAUUUUACAUUUCCACCAACAAUGAAUGAGGGUUCCCACUGUAUAUUCUUUAUACAUUUUUUGACAGUCUGUAUGUAAUAGUUGUGUGUUUAUGUUUAAACAGCGCUGUUGAGGUACAAUGGGCAUACCACAAACUGCACGUAUAUAAAGUGUAUAUACCUUGAUAAGUUUAUAUUUAUACACCUGUGAAACCAUCAUCACAAUCAAGACAGUAAACAUAUGCCUCAUCCCAGAAAUUCGCACAACAUUGUAAAUCAUUUAUACUUAAAAAAAAAAAAAA
Molecule: long non-coding RNA, 5202 nt
Filed under: Sus scrofa (pig)
Lineage: Eukaryota; Metazoa; Chordata; Mammalia; Artiodactyla; Suidae
Description: lncRNA (ENSSSCG00005024349.1)
Source: RNAcentral